RNAcentral lists this long non-coding RNA (6759 nucleotides) under Canis lupus familiaris (dog). Its description in RNAcentral is "lncRNA (ENSCAFG00000055137.1)". Lineage: Eukaryota; Metazoa; Chordata; Mammalia; Carnivora; Canidae. The record is from RNAcentral.
UUUUAUGUAUAUAGUAUGUCAUCUGCAGAUAUUCAGAGUUUUACUUCUUCCUUCUUCCAUUCUUUUCAAGACUGUGCAGUUUACUGUUGUUGGGUGGGGUGAUCUAUGUAUGUAAGUUAUCCUGAUAAUUGAUGAUUUGUACAUUUCUUCUCUGCCUUCCGGAUUUUCUCAUAGUUCUCUCAGUUACUGACAGUGGGAUAUUGAAGUUCCAACUGUAAUUGUGGAUUGAUCUGUUUCUUCUUUCAAUUCUAUUAGUUUUUGCUUGAUGUAUUUAAGAUUUUCUUGUUUGGUGCAUUCACAUUUAGGAUUAUAUCUACCUGAUGGAGUGAUUCUUUUAUCAUUAUGUAGUAUCCUUGUUUGUGUCUAGUAACUUUCUUGCUUUGAAUUCUCCUUUAUCUGAUAUUAAUAUAGCUAUUCCUGCUUUUUAAAAAAUUAAUUAAAAACAUUAAAAAAUUAAUUUUUGCAUGAUAAUCCUUUCCAUCCUUGUAGUUCCAACCUACUUAGGUAUUACACUGAUUUUUAAAAGCAAACCAAAGCCAGGGUCAGAUUUUUAAAUGUUUUUGUCAUGAAGUUAUUUUGAAUUUUUUCAAUUAAGGUCAGGUUACAUAUGUGAGUAAAUGGUAUAAAUCACUUUAGAAACUAGAAAAUGGAAUAUUGGUACAAAGCAGAAUAGAGAGAGAGAGCCUUAUUUAUUAAGUCUGUUUUUGGUCAUUAAACAAAUGUGUUGAAUACCUCAUGUGUGCCAGGAAUUGUUUUAGGUGCUGGAAAUAUGAUAAUGAACAAACAAGAAAAAACAAAACACUGUCAGCAUGGAGUUUAUAGUCUUGUGGAGGAAGAAAAAAGUGAAGAAAUAAAUUAUAUUGUAUGUCAAGGUAAUACAUGCUUUGGAGCAAAGUAAAACUGGGAAGGGGGCAGAGAUAGGUAGGUAGUACUUAUAGGUGGUGGUGAUGAGGUUUUGAUUUCAGAUAGGUGAUCAGGGAAGACCUCUCUGAUAAGUUUACAUUUGUGAAAAGACUUGAAAAUAAUGAGGGAGCAAGCUGUGCUAAUUUAAUUUCUCUGGUAGAAAGGUAUCUCAGGCAGAAAAGAACUUUCUUGGCAUGUUAGAAGAAUCAGUGGGAGACCAAUGUGACUGAGCAGAGUGAGCCAUGGGGAGAGUGCAAGGAGAUGAGAUCAGAGAGGAAACAAGGGUUUAGGUCAUGUUGAAUCCUAAAAGCCAAUGUAAACUUUAGCUUAUCUUUCAUUUCAAAAGGAACAUUUGAUAAUUUGUGUGUACUCCCUAGUCUGUUGAAUAAAGGAAGGAAGGUGGGAAUUAAAUGCAUUUGAUUUUUAAAAAAUAUAUAUAUAUUUUUAAAGGAAAAGUUCCACAGGGUUUUUCCACUUCUAAAACCCUUCACUUCUUAUCUUUAAUGGGUCUGAAAUAAUUGACUUUUUUAAUUUAAAAAGUAUGAGGAGUAUUGUGGAAUAAUUCUCGAUGUGACCCUACUAGUAACAUUAGAGGAAAAAAGUCUAAUUUCCAUUGAGCAGUUUGACAGGCCCUUUAAAAAGUCUAAAGGAAUUAAAAAAUAACAAAGACUGGAACUUAUGCCACAACUGUAAUAUAUCUUAGUUUAUUUUCAAUAGACUAUCAGGUACUUCAUACCACUACAACAGCUGAGUGCUUAAAACAAUAUACCUAACAGCAAGAGCAAACACAAAUAAUUAGGGAUGGUAAAGAAAGAAGAAAUAUAAGCCAUUGAUAACAGACUAGCUUUGUACAAUUUUCAAAUUGCCAGGUACUUGACAAUUUUUUCUGCUGGUCAUUUCUCUUAAAAAAAUUUUAAUGAGGUGAGGACAAGAAAAAAAUAUGAGAAAAUUGUAUCCUAUGGUUAAAGAAGGAAACCACAAUCACAAUACAUAAUGGAUACAGGAAGUGCACAAAGAUUGUUUUUUAUAGACACCAUAAAAAAGAUUUUGCAGAGGUUGAAAGUGGAUUUAUCUGAAAUGUGAUAAAAAUCUAAUCCAGUUCACCUUUUAGAAAGAAUUAAAGAAUAAAUAAAAAGAACGAAAUAGUACCUUGAACCUUAUGUGAAGAUGAUCUCAUAGCCUGUUAGAAUUUCUGACUUGCACCCAGAGUAAUCUAUAACCAUAAUCUACUUAAACCAUUGUGAACACUAGGUUUAAAUCUCCCCACAAUUAAAAGCUCUUCUAGAGUUAUCUACAUACAAAUGUCUUAUACUUCACUUCAUUUUAACCCUACCCCAACCCAAAAAGUUUUUAUAGAUAUUAACCUCAAGUGGAUUACUUUUUCAUCAUCCUUCAUAGAUAUUCUUCAGAAAGCAAGUACAAAGCUUUCUGAUUUAACAACUUGGGUAAAUUGUAACUGAUCAGAAGGUCUGGCAAUACAAUCAUUACUAAUAAGAAUUGUAUUUUCUGAUUCAAAUAUAAAAAUAAUAGGGUCUGACAAUAGUUCAGAAUCUAUGAAAAUUGACCUGAAAAUCCAAGAUAUAAAUUCUUUUUAUCUACAUAGGAAAAUACUUAUUUCAAAAUAAAAAUCCUACUUCUGAAUCUGAGUGUUUAAAAUACUUGACUAAAAUGCACUGAUUAGCCUCCUUCCAAAAGUACUAUGUGUCAAAACUAAAUUUGACACUUGUUCUUAGUAUGUGAAAACUCAAAUAUGACUGCCUCAUAUUAAAAAAUAUAAAUCUAUGAAAACAAGUGCAGUGGCUGAAUAGUUCUGGUAUUAUAAUACCAGUUAGAUGAACAUUUUUAUUAUUUGUAGAAUAAACUCUUAAAGAAUCAAAUCAUAUACGUAUUUUUAUUCCUCUGUGGGCACUAUAAUCAUUAAAAACAAUUACUUAUAUCAUAUAAUGUCAGAGAAAUUAGUAGCCUGAGCAUUCAGCUCUGACCCAGAGAAAUAAAUGUGUUUGUAAUUCUCUGUGAUUUUAGUGAACUAAACUUGGACCAAGUGAAUUGAAAAAGAUCAGUUCAUCCUAAUACACCAACCAGUUUCUUUCACAAUUUUUCCAAUUCUGACAGUAAUAAUGAUUAUAGUAGUGACAGAGCUACCACUUAUUUGUGCGAGGUUAAGCCAUUACUUGGAACGUCCUUCUCCUUUAUCAGAAAAAUUCCUAACUAUCCAGCAUAUGAAAUCUGGUAUGCUCAAGUUCCAAAAUCUUUUGAUUCCAAAAUCUUUUGGAAACCCCUUUGUCAAAUCCAUGCUGAUGGCUUCUCUGAAUUGCUAUGAUCAGUUUUGUCUCUACUGUGCAAUCAAACAUUUCAUGAUGUAGGACUUUAGAAGUUCUGUUUUCUGGGACGCCUGGGUGGCUCAGCGGUUGAGCAUCUGCCUUCGGCUCAGGGCAUGAUCCCACGGUCCUGGGAUCGAGUCCCACAUUGGGCUCCCUGCAUGGAGCCUGCUUCUCCCUCUGCCUAUGUCUCCGCCUGCCUCUCUGUGUCUCUCAUGAAUAAAUAAAUAAAAUCUUUUAAAAAAAAGUUAUCUGUUUUCUAAAUAUACUCACCCCUAAAAAUAAUCUCCAUUUGGGGUCAUUCAUUACCAUGUUCUUCUUGCCAUAUCUUCAUUCAUAUAGUGCAGCUCUGGAAAACAUACAUUUAAAACAGCUACUGACUCCCUCAUUUUGCUUUUAAUAUUAAUUAGGAUUCUGUUUACUGUAAUUGACAAAAGCUUUCCCAAAUAUCAUCCUUUUCCUUCUUGAUCUCAACAUGUAAUCAGUAAGUUCCCCAAAAAGGCCUAGCUCACAAAGGCCUUUUUGGCCUAGACACAAAGUUGAGGCUGACCUUGAAGAAAGAAUAGAGUAUCUUUAAGUGCUAGUAAAUGUGUGGUAAUAAAAUUCCUAAUAUAGUUCAUUCAGAUCUUCAGUAUAAUUGUACCAAACUUUAUAUAACUUUUUAAAUAAUGAGUUCUCCUAUUAGCUCCAAUAACUCCAUUAUUUUGAAGGUCAUGCUGAUACGAAUAACACUGCUCAGAAUCCAACUAGAACUCCCUGAGAUACUUUAAGAAAUCAUUACAUUUCCAGCCAGGAUAGGUCUGGAGGAAUCGGCAUUUAAUCCAUUUUACAGAUAUGGUAUCUAAAGUCCAGAAAGGUUAAAUGGCACCUUCUGGGCUCACAACACUUUUUUGAUCUUGUGGUUCACUAAAAUGAAAGUGCUAGGUAAAUUGAUAGGAGUCAAGAUUGAAGAUGGAUCAUCCUGACACCCUAAUUUAAAACACCUUCAUUUAAGGAAGGCUGAAGUCAAACAGAUGAACACCCCUAUAUAGCAAACCAAGGAAAAGAUAUGCUCUCUUGUAAACUUUUGGCAUAAAUGGUAACAGUUUUCAGUCUCUUCUUUUUUUUUUUUUAAAGAUUUUAUCUAUGAGAGAGAGAGAAAGAGAAUGAGCAGGGGGGAGGAGCAGAGGGAGAGGGAGAAGCAGAUUCCCCACCAGGCAGGGAACCCAAUGCAAGGUUGAAUCCCAGAACUCUGAGAUCAUGACUUGAGCCAAAGGCAGAUGCUUAACCAACUGAGCCACCCAGGCACAGUUUUCUCUUUUUAAAACUGUUUUGGAUCCCCAUUCAAAUCUCUUCCACCACAAAAUUUAACUGUUUUGCACCUUCAGUAGUAAUCGUGAGAAAUAUAUACCAAACCUCAUUAAUAUAAAACCUGAAUAAUUUGGGAAAUCUGGUUUGGAAUAGAAUAUUUAAUCUCUGGAAAGAAAAUUUGUUUUGUUUUUCCCAAAUAACCAGUUGAAUAACAAUUUUGGAUUGUGAUUUUAACCCAAAAUUUUGUAGGUAAUCAUUUAAUGAAAUGUCUGGUAGUAUCCUUAAUGGACUGUUCUCAUCUAUUAGAAAGUUACUAAUGAGAAACACUUAGAAACUGAAUGGAUUAAUUUGGCAACAGUGUUGAUGUUGUCUUGGGAUGGGAAUCAUUCAAGGAUAGAGUCAACUCAGAUAUUCAGGGCAUCUACAAUUUGUAGAUUAACCAUCCCCUUGAUUUUCUUUUUAUCCUUUUUGCUCACAGCUUGUGCUUUUGUAAUCAUACACCCUACCUCAACAGAGUACAGAUAAAAUGUAAUAAAAUUCAAAUUGGAUAAUUUUGCUUCAGGUUAGAAGCUCCUUCAAAAAGUUUCUGAGAUUUCACUAAAAAAGUUUUUGGGAUUUCACUAAAUAAACAUAGCCGUUUUUGUUACUUAUACUAUUUCUAAUAUGAUGAGUAAGUAUUGGCUAAAUAGUAACCAAAGUCAAGCAGCCAUUAAAAUUAUUAUUAUGGUGUCUUAACUGUAUUAUAGUUUGUAAAUUAAAAUAACAUUAAGAGACCUAAUUUCUUUCCUUUUAGCAUUUUGAGGUGUUUGUACCAGUUUCCUGUAAGCAGAUCUUAAUUAGCAAAAAUUUUCAAGUCUCUGUUCCUAUCAAAACUAGUCAGGAUGCCAGGCCGAAAUCAGUGUGACUGGCAGGUAAACUGACUACAAUAUUAGGAAUAUUUUUUUUAAAAAAAUGUAAAGGUUAGAUCUAUACCUUUUCCCCCCCAGAUCUGUACAUUUUGAUGUGAAUAACAAUAUAUGCGGACAGAACAGAGUUUUUGAAUUAAAUCAUACAUUGAUUAAAUUCAGUUUGUUUUGAGGGUCCAGAUACCACUCACAUACCAAUCAGUAAAUGUGUCUUAGGAAUCAAAAAUAUGAGAGAAUGGACUGAUGAAUGGAAAAGAUAUAUUAGACAUUGAAGAAUGAUGCAGUUUUUUUGAAAUAGUAUUUGCUCUGGGGUUGAUCAAAACAGAACCUAACCUUGCAUAUGAAAGUGAGAUUUGGCUCUGCUAAAGAUCAUAUCUGAUUUCUUAAGCAGUUUCAUCAGUGUCAGCUGUGAGAUACACUUAACAUUAAAUGCCAAGGCAGGAUUACAGUGCAAGCCCUGGAGUCCAGCUGAUUUAUCAUCCUUGAAGUUAUGUGGGAUGGUAUAUAACACUAUUGAAAAUAGAUGACAGAAGGCUGUCCAAGCAGCUGCUGCACGGUUGAUCUAAAAUAGUGAGACCACAAACCAGGCCAAUAGAAGAAAUACUUUAAGGGCACACUGAGUCACAGCAUCAAAUGAUAAAAUACAGCUCAGGGCAGCCAGGAAACAAUUGUUUCUGUGAAUGCAAUAAUCAAAAAUGAAGUGAUUCCUUCAUAGCAAAGCCACUGAAAAUAACAUGAUUCUAAAACAGUGGUUUGCAAACAGGAACAGAAUAUAUAAAUAAUAGUUGGAACUCAAAGGACAAUUUAAUACAAACAUCAUGAGAAGGAUUAAUUAGAUUCUUUCUGUAAAGCAGUUCACAAACCAUUAGAGACAUCUUUCAUUAUCAAGAUGUCAACAACCUUAACCACUUAUCUAAGACAGAAUUUUUAAGGUAUGAUGUUAGUUUGGUUUAAAAAAUUGUAUCAAAUAUCCAAAGGACUAAUUUUCUAGUAUAGAAAUGUGCCUCUCUUCUCUGAUAUAAGAUAUCAUUUUGAGCGUGUUAAGUGCUUUUAAAUUUUGAAGCCAAUAUAUUAAUAUUUUUUAUGACAAACUAAAGUCCUUUUAUUAGAAAUAAUUCAUUUUAUUGGUGGGAUGUAUAGACUAUUUGCCCAUGAGUUCAUUUGCUUAUGAGUAAAUCAUAUUGGUACAAUAUACAGAAUGAUUUAAUUAGGAAGUCCUAUAACAUAAGAAUAUAUGGUCAAAUUUUAGGAGAUUAGGAAAGACUGGACCAUUUUCCCAUAUAGGUAGGCUCCUAACUUAAGGCAAAUUACGUCCCCAAAUUUCUUUAAAAUAAGUAGCAGAA